Molecule: ribosomal RNA, 300 nt
Filed under: Triticum aestivum (bread wheat)
Lineage: Eukaryota; Viridiplantae; Streptophyta; Magnoliopsida; Poales; Poaceae
Description: partial small subunit ribosomal RNA
Source: RNAcentral
AUGGGGUUCAUAAUUCAGAUGCUUUGCUUCGGUUUAUUUAUAUCUAUUACUCCCUCCGUUCGGAAUUACUUGUCACACAAAAUGGAUGUAUCUACAACUAAAAUACAUCUAGAUACAUUCAUUUCUUGGACGAGUAAUUCCGGGAAUAUAUAUCUAUCUCUGGCUGGCUUCCGUGCGUUGAUGCUGCCUGCACGUGUCUGGCGUGUUGAGAAGAGGGAGAGAUAUGGUGUGGACACGGUCGGUGACGCCCUGAUCCGUUUUAAUAUUCGGUCACACAUGGUGUGCUACACGCCUUGCUGA